GUGAGGAAUAUUCCGCAAUGGGGGAAACCCUGACGGAGCAAUGCCGCGUGCAGGAUGAAGGCCCUCGGGUCGUAAACUGCUUUUAUAUGAGAAGAAUAUGACGGUAACAUAUGAAUAAGGGACGGCUAACUACGUGCCAGCAGCCGCGGUCAUACGUAGGUCCCAAGCGUUAUCCGGAGUGACUGGGCGUAAAGAGUUGCGUAGGCGGCUCGUUAAGCGUGAAAUGAAAUUUAUCGGCUCAACCGGUAAACUAUUUCGCGAACUGACGGGCUCGAGAGUAUGAGAGGUUACUGGAAUUUCUAGUGUAGCAGUGAAAUGCGUAGAUAUUAGAAAGAACACCAACGGCGUAGGCAGGUAACUGGCAUACAUCUGACGCUGAGGCACGAAAGCGUGGGGAGCGAACCGGAUUAGAUACCCUGGUAGUCC
Molecule: ribosomal RNA, 426 nt
Filed under: uncultured bacterium
Lineage: Bacteria
Description: partial 16S ribosomal RNA
Rfam family: Bacterial small subunit ribosomal RNA
Source: RNAcentral